GCAUCGAUGAAGAACGCAGCGAACUGCGAUAACUAAUGUGAAUUGCAGAAUUCAGUGAAUCAUCGAGUCUUUGAACGCACAUUGCGCCCUCUGGUAUUCCGGAGGGCAUGCCUGUCCGAGCGUCAUUGCUGCCCUCAAGCCCGGCUUGUGUGUUGGGCCCCGUCCCCCCCGCCGGGGGGACGGGCCCGAAAGGCAGCGGCGGCACCGCGUCCGGUCCUCGAGCGUAUGGGGCUUCGUCACCCGCUCUAGUAGGCCCGGCCGGCGCCAGCCGACCCCCAACCUUUAAUUAUCUCAGGUUGACCUCGGAUCAGGUAGGGAUACCCGCUGAACUUAAGCAUAUCAAUAAGCGGAGGAA
This 355-nucleotide ribosomal RNA is filed under the name uncultured fungus. RNAcentral's name for it is "eukaryotic LSU rRNA". The stretch from base 1 to 125 matches the Rfam family "5.8S ribosomal RNA", at positions 30 to 154 of the family's 154-position model. The record is from RNAcentral. Lineage: Eukaryota; Fungi.